This is a long non-coding RNA of Acanthaster planci (crown-of-thorns starfish), 534 nucleotides long. NCBI's taxonomy places the organism in Eukaryota, Metazoa, Echinodermata, Asteroidea, Valvatida, Acanthasteridae. The record is from RefSeq and is a predicted model, not a curated record.
UAAACUGUUUCUUUUUCUUACGAAGAUGGCGGAAGACCUUUGGCUUUGAGACUAGCUUCCUUGUUCGGUAAAGCACCAAGAGGCAAGAUACAUUCACUGACCGAUGAGGCCCGUGAUCACCAUGGUAACACCAAGGCAAAGGCUGGCAGAGUGGAUUCAGUGGCGUGGAUGUUUUGCAGUGGGUUGAGCCAUGUGCUGGAUGAUGAAUAUCAAUGAUGAUGUCUCCAUGGCAACACACACCAAGUAACGGCGUCUACUUUGAGGAACACAAGGCUGCUUGAUUACAAUUCUUUAAAACCAACUGCAAAAAUGUCUCACAAAAUAUUUGAUCAGAAGUUUGCAGCAUGUUUCCAAACCUUUGCCCUAAAACUUAGUGGUCUCCAAAUAAAUCUCUAUACAUGUGUAAUAACAAAUUGAGUUUGUAGCUACGUUAUCUUUUUGAAAAUUGGCUUUGACAUGAACAUUCAACUUUUUGGGCGUUUUUCUAAUCCAAGGAGUAUUAUGCCAAGCAGGUCAGAAAAUAGACACUCCCUU